AUCCAGCUGACGAGUCCUAAGUAGGACGAAACGCGCGUCCUGGAU
Molecule: non-coding RNA, 45 nt
Organism: Schistosoma rodhaini
Lineage: Eukaryota; Metazoa; Platyhelminthes; Trematoda; Strigeidida; Schistosomatidae
Source: Rfam